Gallus gallus (chicken) is the source of this 3113-nucleotide RNA transcript. It is a transcript of the gene named biogenesis of lysosomal organelles complex 1 subunit 2, with no coding region annotated. The transcript is spliced from 7 exons. NCBI's taxonomy places the organism in Eukaryota, Metazoa, Chordata, Aves, Galliformes, Phasianidae. The record is from RefSeq and is marked validated.
GGGCGGGACCGCGGCCUUGCGCGAGGGCGACGGCGGAAGCGGGCGCCGUGGGAGGGGGUCUGUCGCCAUGGCGACCGCAGCGGAGGGGCUGCCCGAGGCCGACGCGCAGCCCGCCAAGCAGGAUCCUGCUGUUGAAACAGCAGAGGAAGCUAAGGAACCAGCAGAAGCGGACAUCAAUGAGCUCUGUAAAGAUAUGUUCAGCAAAAUGGCCACUUACCUAACAGGUGAACUGACAGCCACCAGUGAAGACUACAAGCUCUUGGAAAACAUGAACAAGUUGACUAGCUUGAAGUACCUAGAAAUGAAAGAUAUUGCUAUAAACAUCAGUAGAAAUCUGAAGGAUUUAAAUCAAAAAUAUGCUGCUCUUCAGCCAUAUCUGGAACAAAUCAACCUAAUUGAGGAGCAGGUUGCAGCUCUGGAACAGGCAGCUUAUAAAUUGGAUGCAUAUUCCAAAAGACUUGAAGCCAAGUACAAAAAACUGGAGAAACGAUGAAAUUGCAACAGUCGUUAAAUUGGAGUUGGGCUGUGGGUCAGACUGAUCUCUGAGUUGCACAGCAUCAGUUUUAUAUGUUGACAAGGAUUUGGUAACAGCUAACAUAAGACUGAUAACAUGCCAAUCAAGUACUGGAUACAAAAUGGAACGUGACACAGACAGGCUCUAUACUGUAAUGGCAGCAUGCUGGCAAUUACGUGCAAGUCAGCUCUUUUAUCAGAUGCGUACCAUGUUCUCACACCCUGUGGAGACAAACCAAGUUGGGUACAGAACUGAAUACAGAUUUGCAAGAUGGCCACAAGAGGGUGAUGUUUCAUCAGAGAAAACUUCCAUAAGAUAAAGCAGUUAACAGAAAGGAAGUACCAGUAUUGCGUUAAAACUAUUGCUUUUCUACUUGAAGAAAAAGCUGCGCUGUUUUAAAAUUACAAAGAUGAAAAACUCCAGGAACUCUGAAGAUGGGAACCCAUCUAGCUAUGCGUUGCACCAUGUGGCAUUUCCUGGUGCAGAAGAUAAUAAGAAAAUAGUAGAUGCUUGAAGGAAGAACAUGGAAGACCACAGAGGAAAGAGGGUUGACAGAUGAGAACCAAGGGACCAAGUAUUUCAUUAAAGUGAUCUGUGCAACUGCUUUGAAGCUGAAAGCAGUUCUUGACAAGUUGAACUGUAACUGCAAACCAGGGGAUAAAACUUGGCCUAGCAACUACAGCAAAUAUAGCUCUUUAAGCAGAAAUAGGUCAGAUCCAGAAGAGUUUUUUUUCUCCAGAACACUUGAGGCAAUUCUGCCCAGCUGCUCUGACAGGUUUUUCAGAAGUUGGGUUCAACUGUCAGAAUAAUACUUUGUGUAGAUGUCCAAAAAAAUUCAGGAUGGGGUCUUUAGUCGUUAGUGGAAACUACAACGUGUUCAACAGCUGAAAUAUAGCUCUUCUAUGUUAGAGUAUGCUUUUUAACCUGGAACUUUGUGAUCACUGGAGAUGUUUAAUGUUACCAAACUGGACAGGAGUUAUCCAGUAUUGGCCUGUAGCUAAAUAUAUUACGUGUGCAGUGUUGCACCUGAGGGCGAACAUACAAGAAAAAAAAAAAAGCAGUAAGUAGAGAACAAACAUUCUACGAAAGUAUGAUGAGUUUUGUUAACGAGAGAUUUGUUAAUGAUUACUGUUUGUCCCUGCUUUCUGAUAUUACAGUAGAAUAAAGCAGAACCUUGACAGAGGUCACAAAAAAUUUAAAAAAUAAAGCAGUUCAUCCAAGUUUGCCAGCAACUGCUGAUUUUAUCUAACCAGUUAUGUUUAAUCCAGAGGAGGCAGAAGCUAUUGAUUGCCUUUGCACUUUUUUUUUUUUGUUUUGUUUUGGUUUUUUAAUUUAUUUUUUAAACCAUAGCAUACACAAAUGCUGAUUUCCAGGAUGUAGCAUCGAGUCCUCCUUUGAUCCAGCAUCCCUUUUUCAUGUCGCAAUGGAACCCCUGGGAUCCACAACUAUUUUCUUACUGUUUGCGUUGUUGGUCUCCUCAUCUCUUCAGUCUGCAUGGAGGAAGAUGUCUGAAGCAGGGAAGUUGCCUCCUGAGCCAUUUGUUUUGCCCUUCAUAAGAAACAUAUUAACUAGACCUGAAGAAUAACUUGCCUUAGUCUUCAGAAGAGGUCAAGGGAGUUUGCAGGAUUUGAGGGGUCCAGUGGUGCACAUUAAGCAGAGCCUGGUCCAGUGAUUAAAAAACUUGGGACUGUAUUGCAGUUCUAAUAAUACGGGUAUAUUUUUUAAGUUAAAUUAUGUUUGUUCAGAGACUGAUCAGUUGUUGACGGCAGUGCACUCCCUCUGUUGGAUAUCUCAUCCGCAGGUACUCCAGAAGAGCCCUUCUCAGGCAUGUUCUGAGCCACUGCUGAGUUUCUAAACUACGUGUUGGAAAAAAAAAAAGAUACUGUGAGCUACAUGGUGCCUUUUUUACUGUGGUGAUUUUCAUCUAUCGCUAUUUUUUUUUUAAUUCACUAGUGCCAUGCAUUUUCCUCUGAGAGUUAUUGUGGGUCGGUUUAUUUUUCUUUUGGUGAUUACCUUAUUUGUAUUAAUGAAAGCUUUAAGAAAACCUUGAACAGUGGAGCAGGAUAGGCAGCAACCAAAGGCUUAUCUUCAGCUCUGUAGCUGAACCUGUGUCUGUGUCCUAACCAAUUUGUUUAUGCUUACAUGUACCUAAAAGAUCAGCUUGUGGAAUGACUGCGACAGCGUUGCCCACCUGCUCCUAGGCAUACAUGCCCGAGAUGCAGAGCUGUCUCACGCACAGCUUGUAUAAAGGAUUACAACCGAAGAAACAAGAGCAUUGAUAGAGCAAAAAAUGUCACCAUUCUUUCCUGCUUUGACUCAUUAGAGCUGACAAAAUAGAAAUGAAGGAAUGAAAAAUACUCCGUGACUGUGAGGUUGGUACAUGAAUAAGCACCAAGUAGUUCAUAAGGACUGCAAAGAAAAAUGUGGAUGGACCAGUUCGCCAACUGACAAUAUAAAUCUCAGAAAAGCCCUGUUCAGCUGAUUGAAACCAACUGCAUGACACAAAUUCUGUCAUACAAGAAGUUCUACUCAUUUGUGCCACUGAAUGUCCCCCAUGCUACAAUAAAAAUGUACAGCUCAGACUGUAUCUCCUCCAUUA